This is a long non-coding RNA of Cebus imitator (Panamanian white-faced capuchin), 1157 nucleotides long. RefSeq lists it as uncharacterized. The transcript has 2 exons. The record is from RefSeq and is a predicted model, not a curated record. Lineage: Eukaryota; Metazoa; Chordata; Mammalia; Primates; Cebidae.
AACGAAUGAGAUAAUAAAUGUCCUGAGGAAAUUAAUAUUUAUAAUACCUUUAAUGUUUAAAUGCAUAUACAUUAAUAAACAAGAGUCAGAAUUUUUUUUAAAAACACACUUAAGUAUUUCAUAAUUAGAGAUGGCAUAAAACUUUCAAGUCAUCCAAUAAUAGAGGUUCUCUUAUGUUUUAUCAGACCACUGCUGCAUUUUGGCACAUUUGACUUCAGUACACUUAAACCUCGCUUUCAGGAAGAUAGAUAGGGUUAGAGCUGCAUCAACAGGACGUCGAAAAGCAUGACUUGUGAUAAAGAGGGCCUCAAAAAAUAAGAGUAAUGGAAGAGGCUUUCCUCUAAUUUUUCCAACAGCUACAGAAAGAAGAAAAUUUUCUGAGUCAAAUAGUUUAAGAAAUAGUUUGCUUUUUCUUAUUUCAUAUUACUAUUCUCGUGCCUUUGGUUUUUGAAAACUUUAGCCAUCUAAAAUUAUACAUUUAUAAUUUUUAACACAUGCUUAUAAAGUUUAUACUUUGGAUAAUAACUAAAUGUCACGUGCCAAGUGAAGAUGGAGGCAGAGACUGGAAUGAUCUGCUACCAGUCGGGGGAGGCUAACAAUCCUGACAAUCCUCAGAAGCCAGGAGAGAGGCAUGGAAAGGAACCUCCCUUAAAGCCUCCAGAAGGAGUGACCCCUUGACAUCAUGAUUUCAGACUUCUGGCCUCCAGAGCUGUGAGAGAGUAUAUUUUUCUUUUAAGUCAUAGGAUUCUCCUGUUAAUGAUGCCAAUUUGCUAUGACCAAAGAAAACAAAAGGUGCCGCUGCAGAUACACAGAAGGUAAAAUUCCUAAUACAAACUAUCCUGCUCUAAUGACCAAUCAAAUGAGGCAUAUAUAAAACUGGAAAUUUAGAGGUAUAUAUUUAGUUAAUAUACUCUAACUUUGAAAAUAAUUCAAGGAGAAUGACAAGUUAGGAUCCUGAAAUUUACAUGUAGACUCAGCCACUGACCAAAUAAAGUAUGUCAAUUUCAAAUCAGCAUGACUACAAUUCACUUCUUUAUUAAGCUGUAUGUACACUCAAUGUUUGAACUUGCAGGGGAGGAAGACUGUCCAUUUGAAUUCUUAAUUAAUUCAUCAGAUUAUUUUCCUUUUGUGAGCAGAAAAUAAUUUUACCACCAUAA